Molecule: long non-coding RNA, 431 nt
Organism: Polypterus senegalus (gray bichir)
Lineage: Eukaryota; Metazoa; Chordata; Cladistia; Polypteriformes; Polypteridae
Exons: 3
Source: RefSeq, a predicted model, not a curated record
AUGUCAGUGAGCGUUAAGGACUCCAGCUUCUACGGCUUCCUAAUGUUUGAGUGCCUCUAGUGGUCCUCGAGCGUGUGAGGCCUCAUUCAUCACUCAUGGGCUGACAUGCAUUCAAAGAGAAGAGGUCACUGCGGCUCACACAUGCAAAACAAAUUAGGAGCGAUGCCUGUAUUACAGCUGGAAUUAACCUCCUAAGGGAAAUGGAGGUAACACAGAAGAAUUUAUGUGAUGGAGGACGGAAGUAGGAAUGCUGGGAGGAUGACGUGGAGAAUCUUGGGACAGUGGUGACGUCAGCUGUAAGCGACCGGAGGUGCAGUCAUCAUGAAGUAUUAGGAGCACUAUGAAAGCGGCUUGGAGGUCUGGACAAGGCUUUUCACACAAAUUCAAGGUGCCGUGGGAUUUUGUUUUUCGUCUUUCCUGUUAAAAUAAAG